This 466-nucleotide ribosomal RNA is filed under the name uncultured bacterium. Its description in RNAcentral is "partial 16S ribosomal RNA". It matches the Rfam family "Bacterial small subunit ribosomal RNA", at positions 28 to 507 of the family's 1533-position model. The record is from RNAcentral.
GACGAACGCUGGCGGCGUGCUUAACACAUGCAAGUCGAACGGAAAGGCCCUGCUUGCAGGGUACUCGAGUGGCGAACGGGUGAGUAACACGUGGGUGAUCUGCCCUGCACUUCGGGAUAAGCUUGGGAAACUGGGUCUAAUACCGGAUAGGAGCCAUCUUUAGUGUGGUGGUUGGAAAGUUUUUUCGGUGUAGGAUGAGCUCGCGGCCUAUCAGCUUGUUGGUGGGGUAAUGGCCUACCAAGGCGGCGACGGGUAGCCGGCCUGAGAGGGUGUACGGCCACAUUGGGACUGAGAUACGGCCCAGACUCCUACGGGAGGCAGCAGGGGGGAAUAUUGCACAAUGGGCGCAAGCCUGAUGCAGCGACGCCGCGUGGGGGAUGAAGGCCUUCGGGUUGUAAACUCCUUUCGCUAGGGACGAAGCUUUUUUGUGACGGUACCUAGAUAAGAAGCACCGGCUAACUACGUG